This 397-nucleotide ribosomal RNA is filed under the name uncultured Methanosaeta sp. Its description in RNAcentral is "bacterial SSU rRNA". It matches the Rfam family "Archaeal small subunit ribosomal RNA", at positions 942 to 1338 of the family's 1478-position model. Lineage: Archaea; Methanobacteriati; Methanobacteriota; Methanomicrobia; Methanotrichales; Methanotrichaceae. The record is from RNAcentral.
GCAAUAUGAAGGUCAGGCUGAAGACCUUACCCGAUUAGCUGAGAGGUGGUGCAUGGCCGUCGUCAGUUCGUACUGUGAAGCAUCCUGUUAAGUCAGGCAACGAGCGAGACCCACGUCCACAGUUGCCAGCAUACCCUCCGGGGUGAUGGGUACACUGUGGAGACCGCCGCUGCUAAAGCGGAGGAAGGAGUGGGCAACGGUAGGUCAGUAUGCCCCGAAUCUCCCGGGCUACACGCGGGCUACAAUGGUUGGUACAAUGGGCAUCUACCCCGAAAGGGGAAGGAAAUCUCUUAAAGCCAAUCGUAGUUCGGAUUGAGGGCUGCAACUCGCCCUCAUGAAGCUGGAAUCCGUAGUAAUCGCGUUUCAACAGAACGCGGUGAAUACGUCCCUGCUCCUU